Molecule: long non-coding RNA, 613 nt
Organism: Bombina bombina (fire-bellied toad)
Lineage: Eukaryota; Metazoa; Chordata; Amphibia; Anura; Bombinatoridae
Exons: 2
Source: RefSeq, a predicted model, not a curated record
CAAAUUCCGUGAGUCUUGUCGUACUUGAGGACACAUCACUUCCUGUUGCCAUGUAUGUCAUACAACCUGCAGUUCAAGAUAGGUGUUAGAGAAGGAGACUUGUCCACUUUGCUGUAAAAGAAUUCCUCGGAACAACAACUUUGUCCCACAGAAAGACAUAGAAGGAAUAAUUAUAUAUUCUGUACCAUCGUACACCCUCACAGGCGCCGCCAAAUUCCGUGAGUCUUGUCGUACCUGAGGACACAUCACUUCCUGUUGCCAUGUAUGUCAUACAACCUGCAGUUCAAGAUAGGUGUUAGAGAAGGAGGCUUGUCCACUUUGCUGUAGAAGAAUUCCUCGGAACAACAACUUUGUCCCACAGAAAGACAUAGAAGGAAGAAUGAUAUAUUCUGUACCAUCUGACACCCUCACAGGGUAUGGCAAUAUUUAUAUACUCAUUUUAUAGGUUGAACUCCAUGGACUUCUGUCUUCUUUCAACCUCAUAUACUAUGUUUUGUAUUAUAAUGAGUCUUGUCAUACCUGAGGACACAGAUGAACUUAAUAAGGCAACAGUGUCUAGGAUUUAUUUGCCUAACUGAAUGAAAAUGAAUAAAUAAACAGAAUAUGACUUUAA